UACCCAGAAGGGAAGCCCUUUCAAAAAUUCUCGACGGCCAAGGCAGAACCAAGGCCGAAGAGGGGGUUUGGAAAUAGUUUUCAACCAGCAAUUGACGCGCCUCGAUUGAGUUGGAGCCAUAUAGCUAGGAACACAAUCCUUAUUGGACUGACAAUGCUGCCAUGAUGAAUAUGGACUUCUUUUGUGAUGGGCUAAAUUGACAUCUUCUGAGCCCAAUGGGGUGUUUAGAUCCAAUUUUACUGUCUUCUCUGAUAUGUCAUCUGUAGUGGACAAUGUAACAUAGGAGCUCUCUUGUGGCAUAACGUGUUUUGAGUAUUGAGAGGGUUGAGAAGCCAUCCAUCUCUCAAGCCAAUUCCAACCUCUUGAAUUUUCAUGUUCAUUGCUAAGAAACUCUUCAUCAUCUUCCUCAA
Lycium ferocissimum is the source of this 410-nucleotide long non-coding RNA. RefSeq lists it as uncharacterized. The record is from RefSeq and is a predicted model, not a curated record. NCBI's taxonomy places the organism in Eukaryota, Viridiplantae, Streptophyta, Magnoliopsida, Solanales, Solanaceae. The transcript has 2 exons.